This 253-nucleotide ribosomal RNA is filed under the name uncultured bacterium. RNAcentral's name for it is "partial 16S ribosomal RNA". It matches the Rfam family "Bacterial small subunit ribosomal RNA", at positions 524 to 776 of the family's 1533-position model. The record is from RNAcentral.
UACGAAGGGUGCAAACGUUGCUCGGAAUCAUUGGGCGUAAAGCGCACGUAGGCGGCUCCAAAAGUCGGAUGUGAAAUCCCUGGGCUCAACCGAGGAAGUGCAUCCGAAACUGCGGAGCUUGAGUAUGGAAGAGGGUCGCGGAAUUCCCGGUGUAGAGGUGAAAUUCGUAGAUAUCGGGAGGAGCACCAGUGGCGAAGGCGGCGACCUGGGCCAAUACUGACGCUGAGGUGCGAAAGCGUGGGGAGCAAACGGG